This 1458-nucleotide long non-coding RNA is filed under the name Equus caballus (horse). RNAcentral's name for it is "lncRNA (ENSECAG00000058979.1)". The record is from RNAcentral. Lineage: Eukaryota; Metazoa; Chordata; Mammalia; Perissodactyla; Equidae.
CUUAGCCUUUGAAGAUACACAAAAGCUACAAAGGGCUGUGUUUGCGCACUCCCGGUGCCUGCCCCUGGCUGGCCUCUGUGCUUCAGGCACCACCAACCAGAGGGAUGAAGGGGGUCUGAGCGAUGGAUGCGGCUCUGGGCUAUCUUGUCAUGAGCUGCCGUGGAGUGCUGCGAGACAGGCAAGCCAAGCAGGCAGCACCCUCGUUUCUAGAGGAGCGAAGGCUGGAUCUCCUUGGGCCUUGAGCCCUGAGAAGCUCCUGUUUAAGCCUCUUCAAAACUCAGUUUCUGCCUAGCUGCUCAGAACUUCAGGCCUUGGAGUCCAGGAAACGCUUCCUAGCCUGGGAGCCCCUUGCAGGCUGGGCCUGGGCACAGACUGGCCAGUGGGGCUCCAUGCUUAGCCUGUGCCCUCCUUUCCUGCUCAGCCAACAUUCAUGGCCAUGGCGGUGACUUAGCCAAAACUCGCUGUUCCUUAAAAGUUAUGGAAAUGACGGCAGUUUUACUACGUGUCAUCCUAAGGUGAGGGGAUGGCCAACUCGUCACCCUUUCAGCCCUCAAAUCACUGCUUCACCAGCCCUCAGAUGGCUUUGGAAUACUGUCUGGACCGUACUCUCCUCUCGGGUCUCCCCUCUCAGCAAUGUCGCCUGCCUACUUGGAGACGUCAGCGUGGACCUCCAGACCCAGCCCAAGAAGAAGGUUAUAUUUAUCACGUAUUUUCCUCUCUCAUUCAGGCAGCUGUGUCCAGGUCAGAAGACAUCUCCAAGCAUCUCACUGAAUGAAAUGGGACCAGUCCACACCUCCCUUGCCUAGUGGCCCAGAAGAGACAGCUCCAACAUCCUGCAACAGGAAAGUCUGUCUGCAUGGCUGUGCCCCAAACUGAGAAGCAGCAGGUCUGACAGAUUUCCUGCAGAGGGGAAUCUGUAGGACGAUUGCACAUCUCCAUUUCCUUGUACAGUCCAGGGCUUGGGUUACCAGCAGCCUGAAGAUCUCCAUGCAAUAAAAUUACCACAAAACCACAAAGUUGUCAUAGUGCUCACAGCGGCAGAGAGAUGAGUGGAGAGCAGGCUUAGAAGCCACGUUAUGAAGUCUGUUUUUUACUUUGAAGUCCUUUAGCCUCGAAAGUGAUAAUACUUUGGUGGUAUGUUUUAAGUUAUACCUGAGGAGGAUGAGCUGUCCUAAUCAGGAGUAUUCCCUCCAGGAGUGGACAGCUGAUUGAAGAAACCGACAGUAUUUAUUUAGAGGGCUACUACAUGUGCUUCAGCUGUCUUUGACCUCCCAUCAACAGCUGGAGGUUUUGUUAUUAGCAUAAAGAACACUAGAAAAGAGGGGCUGGCCUGGUGACUUAGUGGUUAAAUUCGCACGCUCCGCUUUGGCGGCACGGGGUUCACAGUUUCAGAUCCCAGCCGGGGACCUAGCACCACUCGUCAAGCCACACUGUGGUGGCAUCCCACACAAAACAGAG